AGUUGUGGUGGUUUUCUUUCUGGUGCAUUUGUUAAGUUUUCAAAUGGGCCUGAUUCUGCCACAUAUAAAAUAGAGGAGUUGGCAAAGGCUUGAUGAAAAAGAUGUUUCUUGCUAGCCUUUCCCACACCAGAGUUUGGCUCCCACAUGU
RNAcentral lists this small nucleolar RNA (148 nucleotides) under Dasypus novemcinctus (nine-banded armadillo). Its description in RNAcentral is "Small nucleolar RNA SNORA12 (ENSDNOG00000026641.1)". It matches the Rfam family "Small nucleolar RNA SNORA12". From Rfam's summary of the family: U108 belongs to the H/ACA family of snoRNAs. The record is from RNAcentral. Lineage: Eukaryota; Metazoa; Chordata; Mammalia; Cingulata; Dasypodidae.